UGGCGGCACUAGCGCGGGGGUAACACCUGACACCAUGCCGAACUCAGAAGUGAAACGCCGUAGCGCCGAUGGUAGUGUGGGGUCUCCCCAUGCGAGAGUAGGGAACUGCCAGGC
This 114-nucleotide ribosomal RNA is filed under the name Salmonella enterica subsp. enterica serovar Enteritidis. The record is from RNAcentral. Lineage: Bacteria; Pseudomonadati; Pseudomonadota; Gammaproteobacteria; Enterobacterales; Enterobacteriaceae.